RNAcentral lists this ribosomal RNA (501 nucleotides) under uncultured bacterium. RNAcentral describes it as "bacterial SSU rRNA". It matches the Rfam family "Bacterial small subunit ribosomal RNA", at positions 17 to 507 of the family's 1533-position model. The record is from RNAcentral.
UCCUGGCUCAGAUUGAACGCUGGCGGCAGGCCUAACACAUGCAAGUCGAAUGGUAACAGGAAACAGCUUGCUGUUUCGCUGACGAGUGGCGGACGGGUGAGUAAUGUCUGGGAAACUGCCUGAUGGAGGGGGAUAACUACUGGAAACGGUAGCUAAUACCGCAUAACGUCGCAAGACCAAAGAGGGGGACCUUCGGGCCUCUUGCCAUCAGAUGUGCCCAGAUGGGAUUAGCUAGUAGGUGGGGUAACGGCUCACCUAGGCGACGAUCCCUAGCUGGUCUGAGAGGAUGACCAGCCACACUGGAACUGAGACACGGUCCAGACUCCUACGGGAGGCAGCAGUGGGGAAUAUUGCACAAUGGGCGCAAGCCUGAUGCAGCCAUGCCGCGUGUAUGAAGAAGGCCUUCGGGUUGUAAAGUACUUUCAGCGGGGAGGAAGGGAGUAAAGUUAAUACCUUUGCUCAUUGACGUUACCCGCAGAAGAAGCACCGGCUAACUCCGUG